RNAcentral lists this unclassified non-coding RNA (268 nucleotides) under uncultured Ascomycota. RNAcentral's name for it is "sequence contains 5.8S rRNA gene, ITS2, 28S rRNA gene". The stretch from base 1 to 52 matches the Rfam family "5.8S ribosomal RNA", at positions 103 to 154 of the family's 154-position model. The record is from RNAcentral. Lineage: Eukaryota; Fungi; Ascomycota.
AACGCACAUUGCGCCCGCCAGUAUUCUGGCGGGCAUGCCUGUCCGAGCGUCAUUUCAACCCUCGGAAGCCCCUUUAGGGGGGCCUCCGGUGUUGGGGAUCGCCCGCCGCCACGGUGGACGUCCCCUAAAACGAUUGGCGGUCUCGCUGUAGCCUCCUCUGCGCAGUAGCACUUGUUCUCGCAGGCGGAGCGCGGCGCGGCCCAGCCGUAAAACCCCCAACUUUUACCAGGUUGACCUCGGAUCAGGUAGGAAUACCCGCUGAACUUAA